UACGAAGGGGGCUAGCGUUGCUCGGAAUUACUGGGCGUAAAGCGCACGUAGGCGGCUUUCUAAGUCGGGGGUGAAAUCCUGGAGCUCAACUCCAGAACUGCCUUCGAUACUGGAGAGCUCGAGUCCGGGAGAGGUGAGUGGAACUGCGAGUGUAGAGGUGAAAUUCGUAGAUAUUCGCAAGAACACCAGUGGCGAAGGCGGCUCACUGGGUCAUUACUGACGCUGAGGCACGAAAGCGUGGGGAGCAAACAGG
RNAcentral lists this ribosomal RNA (253 nucleotides) under uncultured bacterium. RNAcentral's name for it is "partial 16S ribosomal RNA". It matches the Rfam family "Bacterial small subunit ribosomal RNA", at positions 524 to 776 of the family's 1533-position model. The record is from RNAcentral.